This is a long non-coding RNA of Solanum lycopersicum (tomato), 296 nucleotides long. RefSeq lists it as uncharacterized. NCBI's taxonomy places the organism in Eukaryota, Viridiplantae, Streptophyta, Magnoliopsida, Solanales, Solanaceae. The record is from RefSeq and is a predicted model, not a curated record.
CACAAAUUGGAUGUACCUACAAGAUGUGAUCAGAAGACAUCACACUGCCAUCCCCUCAACAGAAUGUUAUGAAGUAAUUGCUGCUGAAGAUUUUCUUGUGUUGGAGUUAACACGGUAACAAAAUGGAUACAGCUGUUCAGGAGCCCAAGGAAGUAUUAUGAUUGAACUGAUUAUCUAACUUGCAACCAAAGCCCACUGUCUAAUCACUCUCACAUAACAUGAAAGUCUUUUUGAAAAUUCAGAUACUCAAAACAUCAGUGCUAAUAGAAAGGCUAAGAAUAUGAAUUCGAACUUUC